Molecule: long non-coding RNA, 251 nt
Filed under: Elaeis guineensis (African oil palm)
Lineage: Eukaryota; Viridiplantae; Streptophyta; Magnoliopsida; Arecales; Arecaceae
Description: long non-coding RNA (EGUI_LNC025573)
Source: RNAcentral
GGGGAGUUUGAGAGCUAUCCAAUUGCCAAAGAGAUGUGGGAUCAACUAAGGCUAAAAUAUGGUGGAAUAACAGCUAUUAGGCUUCAUGCCUUAAUGCUUAGGUUCAAUCAAUAUAUGAUGGACCCAAAGCAUAGCAUGUUUGAGCACCUUAGGGUGAUGUCCUCUUAGAUCAGAGAAAUAAGAGUUGCUGGUCAUGAUCUCACAAUGAGCAAUAGGUCUUUCCUGUCAUUAGGUCACUUCUUAAGUCCUCU